RNAcentral lists this ribosomal RNA (3291 nucleotides) under Saccharomyces cerevisiae (brewer's yeast). Its description in RNAcentral is "large subunit ribosomal RNA". The stretch from base 187 to 3131 matches the Rfam family "Bacterial large subunit ribosomal RNA". The record is from RNAcentral. Lineage: Eukaryota; Fungi; Ascomycota; Saccharomycetes; Saccharomycetales; Saccharomycetaceae.
GUAAAAAGUAGAAUAAUAGAUUUGAAAUAUUUAUUAUAUAGAUUUAAAGAGAUAAUCAUGGAGUAUAAUAAUUAAAUUUAAUAAAUUUAAUAUAACUAUUAAUAGAAUUAGGUUACUAAUAAAUUAAUAACAAUUAAUUUUAAAACCUAAAGGUAAACCUUUAUAUUAAUAAUGUUUUUUUUUUAUUAUUUUUAUAAUAAGAAUAAUUAUUAAUAAUAAUAAACUAAGUGAACUGAAACAUCUAAGUAACUUAAGGAUAAGAAAUCAACAGAGAUAUUAUGAGUAUUGGUGAGAGAAAAUAAUAAAGGUCUAAUAAGUAUUAUGUGAAAAAAAUGUAAGAAAAUAGGAUAACAAAUUCUAAGACUAAAUACUAUUAAUAAGUAUAGUAAGUACCGUAAGGGAAAGUAUGAAAAUGAUUAUUUUAUAAGCAAUCAUGAAUAUAUUAUAUUAUAUUAAUGAUGUACCUUUUGUAUAAUGGGUCAGCAAGUAAUUAAUAUUAGUAAAACAAUAAGUUAUAAAUAAAUAGAAUAAUAUAUAUAUAUAUAAAAAUAUAUUAAAAUAUUUAAUUAAUAUUAAUUGACCCGAAAGCAAACGAUCUAACUAUGAUAAGAUGGAUAAACGAUCGAACAGGUUGAUGUUGCAAUAUCAUCUGAUUAAUUGUGGUUAGUAGUGAAAGACAAAUCUGGUUUGCAGAUAGCUGGUUUUCUAUGAAAUAUAUGUAAGUAUAGCCUUUAUAAAUAAUAAUUAUUAUAUAAUAUUAUAUUAAUAUUAUAUAAAGAAUGGUACAGCAAUUAAUAUAUAUUAGGGAACUAUUAAAGUUUUAUUAAUAAUAUUAAAUCUCGAAAUAUUUAAUUAUAUAUAAUAAAGAGUCAGAUUAUGUGCGAUAAGGUAAAUAAUCUAAAGGGAAACAGCCCAGAUUAAGAUAUAAAGUUCCUAAUAAAUAAUAAGUGAAAUAAAUAUUAAAAUAUUAUAAUAUAAUCAGUUAAUGGGUUUGACAAUAACCAUUUUUUAAUGAACAUGUAACAAUGCACUGAUUUAUAAUAAAUAAAAAAAAAUAAUAUUUAAAAUCAAAUAUAUAUAUAUAUAUUUGUUAAUAGAUAAUAUACGGAUCUUAAUAAUAAGAAUUAUUUAAUUCCUAAUAUGGAAUAUUAUAUUUUUAUAAUAAAAAUAUAAAUACUGAAUAUCUAAAUAUUAUUAUUACUUUUUUUUUUAAUAAUAAUAAUAUGGUAAUAGAACAUUUAAUGAUAAUAUAUAUUAGUUAUUAAUUAAUAUAUGUAUUAAUUAAAUAGAGAAUGCUGACAUGAGUAACGAAAAAAAGGUAUAAACCUUUUCACCUAAAACAUAAGGUUUAACUAUAAAAGUACGGCCCCUAAUUAAAUUAAUAAGAAUAUAAAUAUAUUUAAGAUGGGAUAAUCUAUAUUAAUAAAAAUUUAUCUUAAAAUAUAUAUAUUAUUAAUAAUUAUAUUAAUAAUAUAUAUAAUUAUAUUAUAUAUUUUUUUUUUAUAUAAUAUAAACUAAUAAAGAUCAGGAAAUUAUUAAUGUAUACCGUAAUGUAGACCGACUCAGGUAUGUAAGUAGAGAAUAUGAAGGUGAAUUAGAUAAUUAAAGGGAAGGAACUCGGCAAAGAUAGCUCAUAAGUUAGUCAAUAAAGAGUAAUAAGAACAAAGUUGUACAACUGUUUACUAAAAACACCGCACUUUGCAGAAACGAUAAGUUUAAGUAUAAGGUGUGAACUCUGCUCCAUGCUUAAUAUAUAAAUAAAAUUAUUUAACGAUAAUUUUAUUAAAUUUAGGUAAAUAGCAGCCUUAUUAUGAGGGUUAUAAUGUAGCGAAAUUCCUUGGCCUAUAAUUGAGGUCCCGCAUGAAUGACGUAAUGAUACAACAACUGUCUCCCCUUUAAGCUAAGUGAAAUUGAAAUCGUAGUGAAGAUGCUAUGUACCUUCAGCAAGACGGAAAGACCCUAUGCAGCUUUACUGUAAUUAGAUAGAUCGAAUUAUUGUUUAUUAUAUUCAGCAUAUUAAGUAAUCCUAUUAUUAGGUAAUCGUUUAGAUAUUAAUGAGAUACUUAUUAUAAUAUAAUGAUAAUUCUAAUCUUAUAAAUAAUUAUUAUUAUUAUUAAUAAUAAUAAUAUGCUUUCAAGCAUAGUGAUAAAACAUAUUUAUAUGAUAAUCACUUUACUUAAUAGAUAUAAUUCUUAAGUAAUAUAUAAUAUAUAUUUUAUAUAUAUUAUAUAUAAUAUAAGAGACAAUCUCUAAUUGGUAGUUUUGAUGGGGCGUCAUUAUCAGCAAAAGUAUCUGAAUAAGUCCAUAAAUAAAUAUAUAAAAUUAUUGAAUAAAAAAAUAAUAUAUAUUAUAUAUAUUAAUUAUAAAUUGAAAUAUGUUUAUAUAAAUUUAUAUUUAUUGAAUAUAUUUUAGUAAUAGAUAAAAAUAUGUACAGUAAAAUUGUAAGGAAAACAAUAAUAACUUUCUCCUCUCUCGGUGGGGGUUCACACCUAUUUUUAAUAGGUGUUCACCCCUCUUCGGGGUUCCGGUUCCCUUUCGGGUCCCGGAACUUAAAUAAAAAUAAUUAUGGAAAGAAUUAAAUUAAUAUAAUGGUAUAACUGUGCGAUAAUUGUAACACAAACGAGUGAAACAAGUACGUAAGUAUGGCAUAAUGAACAAAUAACACUGAUUGUAAAGGUUAUUGAUAACGAAUAAAAGUUACGCUAGGGAUAACAGGGUAAUAUAACGAAAGAGUAGAUAUUGUAAGUUAUGUUUGCCACCUCGAUGUCGACUCAACAUUUCCUCUUGGUUGUAAAAGCUAAGAAGGGUUUGACUGUUCGUCAAUUAAAAUGUUACGUGAGUUGGGUUAAAUACGAUGUGAAUCAGUAUGGUUCCUAUCUGCUGAAGGAAAUAUUAUCAAAUUAAAUCUCAUUAUUAGUACGCAAGGACCAUAAUGAAUCAACCCAUGGUGUAUCUAUUGAUAAUAAUAUAAUAUAUUUAAUAAAAAUAAUACUUUAUUAAUAUAUUAUCUAUAUUAGUUUAUAUUUUAAUUAUAUAUUAUCAUAGUAGAUAAGCUAAGUUGAUAAUAAAUAAAUAUUGAAUACAUAUUAAAUAUGAAGUUGUUUUAAUAAGAUAAUUAAUCUGAUAAUUUUAUACUAAAAUUAAUAAUUAUAGGUUUUAUAUAUUAUUUAUAAAUAAAUAUAUUAUAAUAAUAAUAAUUAUUAUUAUUAAUAAAAAAUAUUAAUUAUAAUAUUAAUAAAAUACUAAUUUAUCAGUUAUCUAUAUAAUAUCUAAUCUAUUAUUCUAUAUACU